AUUGAACGCUGGCGGCAGGCCUAACACAUGCAAGUCGAACGGUAACAGGAAGCAGCUUGCUGCUUUGCUGACGCGUGGCGGACGGGUGAGUAAUGUCUGGGAAACUGCCCGAUGGAGGGGGAUAACUACUGGAAACGGUAGCUAAUACCGCAUAACGUCGCAAGACCAAAGAGGGGGACCUUAGGGCCUCUUGCCAUCGGAUGUGCCCAGAUGGGAUUAGCUAGUAGGUGGGGUAACGGCUCACCUAGGCGACGAUCCCUAGCUGGUCUGAGAGGAUGACCAGCCACACUGGAACUGAGACACGGUCCAGACUCCUACGGGAGGCAGCAGUGGGGAAUAUUGCACAAUGGGCGCAAGCCUGAUGCAGCCAUGCCGCGUGUAUGAAGAAGGCCUUCGGGUUGUAAAGUACUUUCAGCGGGGAAGAAGGGAGUAAAGUUAAUACCUUUGCUCAUUGACGUUACCCGCAGAAGAAGCACCGGCUAACUCCGUG
This 490-nucleotide ribosomal RNA is filed under the name uncultured bacterium. RNAcentral describes it as "partial 16S ribosomal RNA". It matches the Rfam family "Bacterial small subunit ribosomal RNA", at positions 30 to 507 of the family's 1533-position model. The record is from RNAcentral.